GCUCCGGUAGUAUAGCCCGGACAAGUAUGCCGGCCUUUCGGGCCUAAAAAAGCGGAGAGAGCCGGAGACCCGGGUUCAAAUCCCGGCCGGAGCA
RNAcentral lists this transfer RNA (94 nucleotides) under Candidatus Calditenuaceae archaeon HR02. It matches the Rfam family "tRNA". From Rfam's summary of the family: Transfer RNA (tRNA) molecules are approximately 80 nucleotides in length. Lineage: Archaea; Thermoproteati; Nitrososphaerota; Candidatus Caldarchaeales; Candidatus Calditenuaceae. The record is from Rfam by way of RNAcentral.